Suncus etruscus (white-toothed pygmy shrew) is the source of this 218-nucleotide long non-coding RNA. RefSeq lists it as uncharacterized. NCBI's taxonomy places the organism in Eukaryota, Metazoa, Chordata, Mammalia, Eulipotyphla, Soricidae. The transcript has 3 exons. The record is from RefSeq and is a predicted model, not a curated record.
GGACACCCCUGCUGUCAAGGAUUGCCCGAAGUCAGAAGGAUGUGAAGAGUAAGACCUUAUGGGAGCCAAAGUCGCACUGCUGCGGGAGGAACUGGUAGACCUAAGGAGGAAGAUGAAAGAGCAGGACCAGCAGGCGCUGACCCUGCGCCAACAUCACAUAGAAAAUGUCUACCACCUGCAGCAGUGCCUGGAACAAUUUGAAGAACACCUGGCCAGCU